GAUGAAGAACGCAGCGAAAUGCGAUAAGUAAUGCGAAUUGCAGAAUUUCCGUGAGUCAUCGAAUCUUUGAACGCACAUUGCGCCCCUUGGUAUUCCGGGGGGCAUGCCUCUUCCAGCGUCAUUUCACCCCUCAAGCUCUGCUUGGUUUUGGGCCGCGCCGGCAACGGCGGGCCUCGAAAAUAGUGGCGACGCCAUCGUGCUCUCAGCGUAGUAAUUCUUCUCGCUGUUGGGUUCCGGUGGUCGUCCGCCAGCAACCCCCAACUUUCUUAAGUUUGACCUGGGAUGAGGUAGGGAUACCCGCUGAACUUAAGCAUAUCAAUAAGCGGAGGA
RNAcentral lists this unclassified non-coding RNA (330 nucleotides) under soil metagenome. RNAcentral's name for it is "partial contains 5.8S ribosomal RNA, internal transcribed spacer 2, and large subunit ribosomal RNA". The stretch from base 1 to 121 matches the Rfam family "5.8S ribosomal RNA", at positions 35 to 154 of the family's 154-position model. The record is from RNAcentral.